GUGAAGCCAGAACGUCAGAGCAAGGGAACUGCCAGACAAAGCAAAGAAAAUGAAGAUUUCUGUCUUGGGAAUUGAACCUUCAAUGUCUUAUUGUAUAAGGCCUGUGUGCACAGUCUGAGGAUCUGAUGAAAGCCAAACGACCAAAAUCCAGGAAGAGUGCUCAGUUCGUGGAUUUUCUCAUUUGCUUUCGUAGAUAUGAGAGAUUGUGUUGCUCAGGUGUUCAAGGUGUUGUGAGAGCAAUAUUCUGAGGGGAGAAAAUGGCAAGGCGGUUCACAUUUCUCUGUAUGCUCUAGCAGCCACCCCAGCAUGUAUUUUAGCUGGCACUGAGUGUAACCCCCAUGGUGGCAAGCUCCCCUGCUCCUUUCAGGUGUUUUGCUGGUGGGAUCAUCCAUGUUGCAGGAGACUCUCUGAGCCCCAGCAAGCAGUAAAUAGAACAAACAGAACCCGUGUUACAGGCAUGGUCAACUGCACUGGUCGCACAGCCCUAGCAGAGCAGAGUCACUGCCACCCUCACGUAGGCAGUGACAUGGCGCAGGGGAUUACCCACCCUGGGGUCCUCCCAGUGAUACCUGGACAAGUCAGCAGCACACGGCAGCAGCAGCAGGGAGAAGUGAUGGGAGCACUUGCACCGUUUACCUGUGCCUCAGAGCAGCCACAGCAAGGGACCAGGACAGGCUGAUGCACCAAGGACACAUUGACUUGCUCACCUCCUGCACUGUUGGAAUUAGUUUUGCAGUUAAUAUACGCACUGAUGUCAAAUAAAAUGAAACCGUUAUGAUGUUGUGAGUUGCCU
This 793-nucleotide long non-coding RNA is filed under the name Anas platyrhynchos platyrhynchos (common mallard). Its description in RNAcentral is "lncRNA (ENSAPLG00000020720.1)". The record is from RNAcentral. Lineage: Eukaryota; Metazoa; Chordata; Aves; Anseriformes; Anatidae.